GACAGAGGAUGCAAGCGUUAUCCGGAAUGAUUGGGCGUAAAGCGUCCGCAGGUGGCUAUGUAAGUCUGCUGUUAAAGAGUGAGGCUCAACCUCAUAAGAGCAGUGGAAACUACAUGGCUAGAGUGCGUUCGGGGCAGAGGGAAUUCCUGGUGUAGCGGUGAAAUGCGUAGAGAUCAGGAAGAACACCGGUGGCGAAAGCGCUCUGCUAGGCCGCAACUGACACUGAGGGACGAAAGCUAGGGGAGCGAAUGGG
RNAcentral lists this ribosomal RNA (253 nucleotides) under uncultured bacterium. RNAcentral describes it as "partial 16S ribosomal RNA". It matches the Rfam family "Bacterial small subunit ribosomal RNA", at positions 524 to 776 of the family's 1533-position model. The record is from RNAcentral.